GAUGAACGCUGGCGGCGUGCCUAACACAUGCAAGUCGAGCGAACAGACGCGGAGCUUGCUCCUCUGACGUUAUCGGCGGCCAGGUGAUUAACACGUCGAUAAUCUCCUUCUCCGACUUUGAUAAUUACGGGAUACCAGAGUUACUACCGGAUAAUAUUUUGGACCUCUUGGUUCAUUAGUGAAAGACGGUUUUGGUGUCACUGAUAGAUGGAUUCGCGCCGUAUCAGCUAGUUGGUAAGGUAAUGGCUUACCAAGGCAACGAUGCGUAGCCGACCUGAGAGGGUGAUCGGCCACACUGGAACUGAGACACGGUCCAGACUACUACGGGAGGCAGCAGUAGGGAAGCUUCCGGAAUGGGCGAAAGAAUGACGGAGCAACGCCGCGGGAGUGAUGAAGGUCUCCGGAUCGUAAAGCUCUGUUAUUGGGGAAGAAGAAGUGUGUAAGUAACUAUGGACGUCUUGACGGUACCUAAACAGAAAGCCACGGCUAACUACGUG
This 497-nucleotide ribosomal RNA is filed under the name uncultured bacterium. Its description in RNAcentral is "partial 16S ribosomal RNA". It matches the Rfam family "Bacterial small subunit ribosomal RNA", at positions 28 to 507 of the family's 1533-position model. The record is from RNAcentral.